Non-coding RNA from Tilletia controversa (dwarf bunt fungus), 90 nucleotides. Lineage: Eukaryota; Fungi; Basidiomycota; Exobasidiomycetes; Tilletiales; Tilletiaceae. The record is from Rfam.
GGCCGCUUAGCACAGUGGUAGUGCGUCUGACUACGAUUGAUUGCGUAAUCACCUAUCAGGAGGUCGCAGGUUCGAUACCUGCAGUGGUCG